UAGUUCAGUCGGUUAGAAUACCUGCCUGUCACGCAGGGGGUCGCGGGUUCGAGUCCC
This 57-nucleotide transfer RNA is filed under the name Escherichia coli. Its description in RNAcentral is "tRNA-Asp". It matches the Rfam family "tRNA", at positions 8 to 61 of the family's 71-position model. Rfam says of the family: Transfer RNA (tRNA) molecules are approximately 80 nucleotides in length. RNAcentral also lists the same sequence under 1 other name. The record is from RNAcentral. Lineage: Bacteria; Pseudomonadati; Pseudomonadota; Gammaproteobacteria; Enterobacterales; Enterobacteriaceae.